CAUGUAGGCGGUUUUUUUAAGUCCGGAGUGAAAAUGCGGGGCUCAACCCCGUAUGGCUCUGGAUACUGGAAGACUUGAGUGCAGGAGAGGAAAGGGGAAUUCCCAGUGUAGCGGUGAAAUGCGUAGAUAUUGGGAGGAACACCAGUGGCGAAGGCGCCUUUCUGGACUGUGUCUGACGCUGAGAUGCGAAAGCCAGGGUAGCGAACG
RNAcentral lists this ribosomal RNA (207 nucleotides) under uncultured bacterium. RNAcentral's name for it is "partial 16S ribosomal RNA". It matches the Rfam family "Bacterial small subunit ribosomal RNA", at positions 568 to 774 of the family's 1533-position model. The record is from RNAcentral.